This 325-nucleotide ribosomal RNA is filed under the name uncultured eukaryote. RNAcentral describes it as "partial 18S ribosomal RNA". It matches the Rfam family "Eukaryotic small subunit ribosomal RNA", at positions 1470 to 1796 of the family's 1831-position model. The record is from RNAcentral.
CCCUUAGAUGUCCUGGGCUGCACGCGCGCUACACUGAAGCGUUCAACGAGUAUUCACCUUGCCCGGGAGGGUUGGGUAAUCUUUUGAAAACGCUUCGUGAUGGGGAUAGAUUAUUGCAAUUAUUAAUCUUCAACGAGGAAUUCCUAGUAAGCGCGAGUCAUCAGCUCGUGCUGAUUACGUCCCUGCCCUUUGUACACACCGCCCGUCGCUCCUACCGAUUGAGCGAUCCGGUGAAUAAUUCGGACUGCAGCACUGCUUGGUCUCCAGGCUUUGCAGCGGAAAGUUUAGUGAACCUUAUCACUUAGAGGAAGGAGAAGUCGUAACA